GGGGAAUAUUGCGCAAUGGGGGAAACCCUGACGCAGCAAUACCGCGUGAGUGAAGAAGGUUUUCGGAUCGUAAAGCUCUGUUAUUGGGGAAGAAAAAAAGACGGUACCCAAGAAGAAAGUCCCGGCUAACUACGUGCCAGCAGCCGCGGUAAUACGUAGGGGGCUAGCGUUGUUCGGAUUUACUGGGCGUAAAGCGCACGUAGGCGGAUUUUUAAGUCAGGGGUGAAAUCCCGGGGCUCAACCCCGGAACUGCCUUUGAUACUGGAAGUCUUGAGUAUGGUAGAGGUGAGUGGAAUUCCGAGUGUAGAGGUGAAAUUCGUAGAUAUUCGGAGGAACACCAGUGGCGAAGGCGGCUCACUGGACCAUUACUGACGCUGAGGUGCGAAAGCGUGGGGAGCAAACA
RNAcentral lists this ribosomal RNA (403 nucleotides) under uncultured Brucellaceae bacterium. Its description in RNAcentral is "bacterial SSU rRNA". It matches the Rfam family "Bacterial small subunit ribosomal RNA", at positions 356 to 774 of the family's 1533-position model. Lineage: Bacteria; Pseudomonadati; Pseudomonadota; Alphaproteobacteria; Hyphomicrobiales; Brucellaceae. The record is from RNAcentral.